Molecule: small nucleolar RNA, 100 nt
Organism: Zingiber officinale
Lineage: Eukaryota; Viridiplantae; Streptophyta; Magnoliopsida; Zingiberales; Zingiberaceae
Product: small nucleolar RNA Z107/R87
Exons: 1
Source: RefSeq, a predicted model, not a curated record
GAUUGCCGUGACGACUACGGAUAUUCAAGCUCAACAGACCGGAUCACAGAUCUGUCUUCGUGGGAUUUGUAUGUCGACCACCCCGCUGACCUGAGCAAUC